UCCCAGGCAGUCCAGUGGUUAGGAUUCUGCGCUUUCACUGCUGAGGACUUGGGUUCAAUCCCGAGUCAGGGAA
RNAcentral lists this transfer RNA (73 nucleotides) under Bos taurus (domestic cattle). It matches the Rfam family "tRNA". Rfam says of the family: Transfer RNA (tRNA) molecules are approximately 80 nucleotides in length. Their secondary structure includes four short double-helical elements and three loops (D, anti-codon, and T loops). Lineage: Eukaryota; Metazoa; Chordata; Mammalia; Artiodactyla; Bovidae. RNAcentral also lists the same sequence under 1 other name. The record is from Rfam by way of RNAcentral.